Molecule: ribosomal RNA, 193 nt
Filed under: uncultured bacterium
Lineage: Bacteria
Description: partial 16S ribosomal RNA
Rfam family: Bacterial small subunit ribosomal RNA
Source: RNAcentral
CCUACGGGAGGCAGCAGUAAGGAAUAUUGCACAAUGGGCGCAAGCCUGAUGCAGCAACGCCGCGUGUGUGAAGAAGGCCUUCGGGUUGUAAAGCACUUUCGCCGGGGACAAACACGGCGGGGCUAAUACCUCUGCUUCUGAUGGUACCCGGAGAAGAAGCACCGGCUAACUCUGUGCCAGCAGCCGCGGUAAU